UGGGGAACAUUGGACAAUGGGCGGAAGCCUGAUCCAGCAACGCCGCGUGAGGGAUGACGGCCUUCGGGUUGUAAACCUCUUUCAGCACAGACGAAGCGCAAGUGACGGUAUGUGCAGAAGAAGGACCGGCCAACUACGUGCCAGCAGCCGCGGUAAUACGUAGGGUCCGAGCGUUUGUCCGGAAUUUAUUGGGCGUAAAGGGCUCGUAGGCGGUUUGUCGCGUCGGGAGUGAAAACACCGGGCUUAACUCGGUGCUUGCUUUCGAUACGGGCAGACUAGAGGUAUUCAGGGGGAGAACGGAAUUCCUGGUGUAGCGGUGAAAUGCGCAGAUAUCAGGAGGAACACCGGUGGCGAAGGCGGUUCUCUGGGAAUAUCCUGACGCUGAGGAGCGAAAGUGUGGGGAGCGAACAGGAUUAGAUACCCUGGUAGUCCACACCGUAAACGUUGGGCGCUAGGUGUGGGGUCCAUUCCACGGAUU
RNAcentral lists this ribosomal RNA (478 nucleotides) under uncultured bacterium. Its description in RNAcentral is "partial 16S ribosomal RNA". It matches the Rfam family "Bacterial small subunit ribosomal RNA", at positions 355 to 840 of the family's 1533-position model. The record is from RNAcentral.